GACAGAGGGUGCAAACGUUGCUCGGAAUUACUGGGCGUAAAGCGCGUGUAGGCGGACCGUUAAGUCUGUCGUGAAAGCCCCGGGCUCAACCUGGGAAUGGCGAUGGAUACUGGCUCGCUAGAGUGCGGUAGGGGAGACUGGAAUUCCUGGUGUAGCGGUGAAAUGCGCAGAUAUCAGGAGGAACACCGGUGGCGAAGGCGGGUCUCUGGGCCGUAACUGACGCUGAGGCGCGAAAGCCAGGGGAGCAAACGGG
RNAcentral lists this ribosomal RNA (253 nucleotides) under uncultured bacterium. Its description in RNAcentral is "partial 16S ribosomal RNA". It matches the Rfam family "Bacterial small subunit ribosomal RNA", at positions 524 to 776 of the family's 1533-position model. The record is from RNAcentral.